GCCUACGGGGGGCAGCAGUAGGGAAUCUUCCACAAUGGGCGAAAGCCUGAUGGAGCAAUGCCGCGUGGGUGAAGAAGGUCUUCGGGUCGUAAAACUCUGUUGUUGGAGAAGAAAGUGCGUGAGAGUAACUGUUCACGUUUCGACGGUAUCUAACCAGAAAGCCACGGCUAACUACGUGCCAGCAGCCGCGGUAAUACGUAGGUGGCAAGCGUUAUCCGGAUUUAUUGGGCGUAAAGAGAACGCAGGCGGUCUUUUAAGUCUGAUGUGAAAGCCUUCGGCUUAACCGGAGUAGUGCAUUGGAAACU
RNAcentral lists this ribosomal RNA (305 nucleotides) under uncultured bacterium. RNAcentral describes it as "bacterial SSU rRNA". It matches the Rfam family "Bacterial small subunit ribosomal RNA", at positions 337 to 634 of the family's 1533-position model. The record is from RNAcentral.